Molecule: ribosomal RNA, 186 nt
Filed under: Triticum aestivum (bread wheat)
Lineage: Eukaryota; Viridiplantae; Streptophyta; Magnoliopsida; Poales; Poaceae
Description: partial small subunit ribosomal RNA
Source: RNAcentral
AUGGGUGGCAUGCGGAUGCGCAUGGAGCCACGGACGCCGCCGUCCCCAACGACGCCCCAUCCCGGCGCUCCUCGACUCCCGCUUGGACGGCGACAAGUUCGAGCCGUGUCCGUCGACCCCGACGUCGCGCUCGCCUACAAGUUCCCCGAGGUCUCCUUCGCCUACGACGAGAGGUGCGGGCCUUAG